UACACGAGUGAACAAUAACAAGUAGUUAACACGUUUACUAAUAGUUACCGUCUUGCAGGGUACCUUCCGAAAUCGAUCAAAAAUCGAUUAUUGAGAUUUAAUAUCACGGUUAGGUAACUACCCUACAAGAGGGAGGUAUCCAAUUCUCUACAACAUUUGUAAAGUUUCACCUAUUACACCACUAUAUAUUCAAAGAUAACUUUUAGGUUUCAAAUUUGAAAUUCUGUUGUAAGAGUAGCAACUUUCAUCAUCCAUAUUUUUUGAAUGCGUAAAAAAGAGAUACACGUAACGCUAUUCCAUUUUUCAUCAACAAUGGCCGGCAUUAUUUGGAAAAAAUGUUUGAGCAUGAAAAGGCGUUUAUAAAGAACGUUGUAUUGCCUUGCAAUUUGCAGCGCAAGGUUUGGAAUGUUCGAAAGAUUUUCCACAUCGAUAAGUGCAUUUCCAAAAUCGCUCUGAGUUUGGGUAAACGUGCUACACAGUGUUUUUAGAUUACACUCAACCCUUUCCAUUUUGUUGGUGUGUCGUCAAAUAUCGCAACGUUGGGUGUGCGGCGUCGAGAAGGCUAAGGGUGUGCUGUGUCGUUUGUGGAAGGUAACUGCCAACACUGCUAUUUGUCAUUUGGCAUUGUUAUGUGAGGUUCAUUCACCAACACAUGUACACAUUGUUUGAAAAGUUCCUGCGCUCGAAAUAAAAAAAUUUUGUUUUUGUUACGAAAUAUAUUUUUUUAUUCAAUAUAA
Bactrocera oleae (olive fruit fly) is the source of this 737-nucleotide non-coding RNA. NCBI's taxonomy places the organism in Eukaryota, Metazoa, Arthropoda, Insecta, Diptera, Tephritidae. The record is from RefSeq and is a predicted model, not a curated record.